AGUGAACGCUGGCGGUAGGCCUAACACAUGCAAGUCGAGCGGCAGCACAGUAAGAGCUUGCUCUUACGGGUGGCGAGUGGCGGACGGGUGAGGAAUACAUCGGAAUCUACUUUUUCGUGGGGGAUAACGUAGGGAAACUUACGCUAAUACCGCAUACGACCUACGGGUGAAAGCAGGGGAUCUUCGGACCUUGCGCGAUUGAAUGAGCCGAUGUCGGAUUAGCUAGUUGGCGGGGUAAAGGCCCACCAAGGCGACGAUCCGUAGCUGGUCUGAGAGGAUGAUCAGCCACACUUGAACUGAGACACGGUCCAGACUCCUACGGGAGGCAGCAGUGGGGAAUAUUGGACAAUGGGCGCAAGCCUGAUCCAGCCAUACCGCGUGGGUGAAGAAGGCCUUCGGGUUGUAAAGCCCUUUUGUUGGGAAAGAAAAGCAGCAGGUUAAUACCCCGCUGUUCUGACGGUACCCAAAGAAUAAGCACCGGCUAACUUCGUG
Molecule: ribosomal RNA, 492 nt
Filed under: uncultured bacterium
Lineage: Bacteria
Description: partial 16S ribosomal RNA
Rfam family: Bacterial small subunit ribosomal RNA
Source: RNAcentral